RNAcentral lists this long non-coding RNA (33523 nucleotides) under Nicotiana tabacum (common tobacco). Its description in RNAcentral is "long non-coding RNA (NTAB_LNC001268)". Lineage: Eukaryota; Viridiplantae; Streptophyta; Magnoliopsida; Solanales; Solanaceae. The record is from RNAcentral.
GACCAUCAGCUUGCCUACCUGCACCUGCGAGCAUGAAUCAGGUCCCAUGAAAUAGGGCGUCAGUACGAAAAAUGUACUGAGUAUGUAAGGCAUGAAAAUUAGUAUGUAAAAGACAUAGAUGAAACAUGGCAUAAACAAAUCCAUCUGUAAAUCUGAAUAACUUUAUAAAUUCUGAAACAUUUAUAAUUUCAUGCACGUGCAUAUAAAUGUUGUCUCAUGCAUAGGUAUAGGUGGACAUAAUAUCAUCAAGCCUCUGAGGGCAUCUCAUCAUAUCGUCUCGGCUACUAUGGGCAACAUCAUCAACAUAUACCAACUAAUCAGGUGGUGGUGCGUAUAUAAUACCGUAACCUUUUUCCCAUAUCCCAUAUAAAUAUAAUAAACAUAUAUACCCGUAUAUAACGCCAUCCGGUCAUGGGUCAAUGUACAUGUAUAAAUGCAUGAAAUGCAUAAGAAAUAUGUUAAUAAGAUUUUCUCGUAAUGCCAUAAAACUCAAUAUGCCUUUUGGAUAAACUUUAUCAAAUACACAUUUUUUUGAGACCCAUAAACAGACGAUAGAAUAAUAACACAUAUGGGAAGAAUAUACUCAUCUCUAGCAUUUCUACGAAUAGAGUAAUUUAUGAAAGUUGUGCAUUUGCUCGUUUCGUUUGUGUCGUAUAGAUCAUGCCAAAAACAAAGAAGGGAUAACCUUAACAUACCUGAGUCGAUUCUCUUGAGAAAGAUUACACCGUACUCCCUUAAUAUUGCAAAAUCUCACAUUAAUUUGAAUUUUUGAAAGCUUGGGUGUAGCUUAUGUGAUAUGCAAUAUACAUUUGCAUAUUAGAAAUGCUUUAACGUGCUUUCUUUGUUAGAAAAUCUUGCUGGACUUGAAGCGAAAUUUCCCUAAAUCUUGAUAAACCCUUUCAGAAGAGGUGUAGGGAAUGAUUUCAAUAUUUUGAGAUUGUUAUUCUUAUUUAGGUGGGCCCCUCAUUGAAAGCUUGGUGUCACUUUAAGGUGUGACAUCUUAUCCAUAUUUAUUAUUAGUCAUUUAGAGAGUUUAGGCAAGCUUACCACAUUGGGGUUGGGGGGGGGGGGGGGUAACGUUUUUCCUUCAAAUUUUUUAUUAAACAGGGAAAGUUUUUUUAGCCCGGAAUUAAAUAAUUACCACCGUAUAAUUAAAAAUAAUCUCAAAUUACCUAAAAAUACUACUCAUUUUUAAUAUACUUUAUACAUCAUACUAUCACAGUCAUAUGGUACCUUGUAUGGUACUAGUCCAUAAAUAUCGAGUAUUAUCGCUCGACCUGUAUUUUAUCCCAAAUCGGCAACCUUUAAUGAAGCUCAUUUUCUUUGAUUCGUGUACCCUUUAUCCUUCAUGUCACUUACUUAUCGCUUGUUUUAAAUAGCAUAAAUACGUUAACCUCAAGAUAAUCUUAUCCCCGAGUCUAUGUCGAUUAACUGAAGACGAAACUUUAACGUAUGAAAUGCGACAUGUAACAUCCUUCCCCCCUUAGAAACAUUCAUCCUCGAAUGUUCAACUCCCCGGGAUCUAUAUAACUUUGGUAGAGUCGCCUUUCUAACAAUUCUACUACCAACUCUUCCUGUGGAAACUCAAGAAUUCAACGCCACAUAGGACCACAAUCAUCAAUAACGACAAUGGCCUCACAUGACCAAUGACAAUAACCAACACAAGAAUUCAUACAAGUACCUUAAGGUUGUGAUGUCUCAGUCAGACCAUUCUCUGGAGGAGGAAAUAAGUAAGGAUAUCUAGACUUUAUGUCUUCUUCGCCCUCCCAAGUUAUUUCUUCCAUAUUGUUUUUUCUCUAAAGCACUUUCACCGAAGCUACGUCUUUAGUUCUCAAUCUCCGAACCUGUCUGUCUAGUAUAGCAAUGGGAGUUUCUUCAUAUGAUAGCUGCUCUGUGACCUGAACAUCGUCAACAACACAAUUCUGGAAGGAUCUCCGAUACAUUUAUAGAGCAUAGACACAUGAAAUACUAGAUGUACAGACUCCAAGUCCGAAGGCAAGUCCAACUCAUAUGCUACCUGGCCUACCUUGCUAUGAUCCUAUAUGGUCCAAUGUACCGAGGCUAAGUUUUCCUUUUCUUCCGAACCCCAUAACGCCUUUCAUCGGUGAUGCUUUUAGGAAUACCGAAUCGUCAACCUGAAAUUCCAAGUCUCGCCGUUGAUUAUCUGCAUAAGACUUCUGACGGCUUUGAGCUACUAAUAGCCUUUCCUGCAUAAGCUUAUCUUUCUCGAUUGCCUGUUGUACCAAUUAUGGUCCUACUAACGUAGUUUUCCCAACAUCAAACCACCCUAUAGGCGGCCUACACUUUAGUCCGUAAAGAGCUUCGUAUAGAGCCGUUUGAAUACUAGAAUGGUAGUUAUUAUUAUAUGCGAAUUCAAUAAGCGGUAGAUGAUCAUCCCAAUUACCUUUGAAGUCUAUCACACAAGCUCAUAACAUAUCCUCAAGUGUCUGAAUAGUACGCCCAGCCUUUUCGUCUGUUUGGGGAUGAAAUGUUGCACUAAGACUUACCUGAGUCCCCAAUCUAUUUUGGAAGGACCUCCAGAAAUUAGCUGUAAAUUGAGCCCCUCUAUUCGUGAUAAUAGAUAUAGGGACACCAUGCAGUCAUACUAUCUCCUUAAUAUAAAGCCUUGCAUAAUCCUGUUGCGGAAUAUAUAGUCCUAAUAGGCAGAAAAUGGGCUGACUUUGUAAGCCUNNNNNNNNNNNNNNNNNNNNNNNNNGCAACAAACUACGCUAUUUCCUUUUUCAUUCCGUACCACCAAUAUAUUUUCCUAAUAUCAUGAUACAUCUUUGUCGCUCCUGGAUGGAUAGAAUAACGAGAAUAGUUAGUUUCUCCCAUAACCUGCCGACGCAGCCUGCAAUAUUAGGGACACAUAAUCGUCCUCGAUAUCUAAGGACUCCAUCUUCUAUAAUCUCAAAUGGUGUCUUUUCUUUUUGAGAGGUGGUAUCCCUAUAAUGAACUAACACGGGAUCAUCAUACUAACGUUCCUUCACUUCAAUUACUAACGAGGAUGUUGUUGUAUCCUGAAUAGUAAUUCCAAUAUCACCUGAGUCUAGUAACCGAACACCAAGACUAGCUAGCUGAUGAAUCUCAUGGGCUAUUCCCCUCUUCUCUGGCUGUAAAUAUGACAGGCUACCCAUCGAUCUACGGCUGAGGGCAUCGGCUACCACGUUCGCCUUCCCCGGAUGGUAUAAAAUAUCAACACAAUAGUCUUUAAGUAGCUUCAACCAUCUUCUUUAACGUAAAUUCAAUUCCUUUUGCCUGAAGAUAUACUGGAGGCUCUUACGAUCAGUAUAGACAUCAACAUGAAUGCCAUAAAAGUAGUGCCUCCAUAUCUUUAAUGCAUAAAUCAUUGCGGCUAACUCUAAAUUGUGGGUCGGGUAAUUCUUCUCACGCAUUCUUAGUUGUCUAGAAGCAUAACCUACAACCUUACCAUGCUGCAUCAACACACAACCCAGCCCAAUGCCUGAAGUGCCAUAAUAGAUAAUGUAACCAUCGGUCCCUUUUGGGAGCAUUAGAACCGAUGCUGAAGUUAAUAUAUCCUUCAAUGCUUGGAAACUUAAUUCACAAGCGUUAGUCCAUUGAAACUUUGCUCCUUUCUGAGUCAACUUGUUCAAAGGUGCUGAAAGGGCAGAAAAUACCUCUACAAAUCUCUUGUAAUAGCCUGCCAAAUCGAGAAAGCUACGAACCUCCGUCGGUGUUGUGGGUCUAGGCUAAGUCUUUAUUGCCUUAAUCUUUUGUGUAUCCACCUGGAUGCUUUCACCCGAAAUGAUAUGCCCAAGUAAAGCUACAGAGUUCAGCCAGAAUUCACAUUUAGAGAAUUUUACAUACAACUUUCCUUUAUGUAGAACUCUGAGCACAGUAUGCAGAUGAUCUUCAUGCUCAGCCUCUAAAUGAUAAUACACCAAUAUAUUGUCGAUGAAUACAAUUACGAACAGAACGACAUAACACGAAACUCAAAAUGCCUGUAUCUGGUCCUGAAUGCUGUCUUCGGAAUAUCUUCCUCCAUAACCCAAACUUGAUGGUAUCCAAACCUCAAGUCUGUCUUUGAAAAACACUUGGCACUUUGCAACUGAUCAAAUAAAUCAUCAAUCCUCAGGAGUGGGUACUUAUUCUUGAUCGUCACCUUAUUCAACUGUCUAUAAUCAAUACAUAUCCGUAAGGAACCAUCUUUCUUCCUUACAAAUAACACAGGCGCCCCCCAUAGUGAUGUACUAGGUCUGAUAAAGCCUUUUUCAAGUAAGUCCUUUAGUUGUUCCUUCAACUCUUUCAACUCUGUGGGGGCCAUUCUAUAGGGUGGAAUAGAUAUUGGAUGAGUAUCUGGUAGUAGGUCAAUAGAAAAUGCAAUUUCUUACUCUGGCGGAAGACAAAUAAGUUAAUCAGGAAAACAUUGGGAAACUCAUUAACCACAAAGAUGGACCGAAUGGUUGGUGACUCUACUUCCAUAUCCUAAACCAGAACUAAGUUAUNNNNNNNNNNNNNNNNNNNNNNNNNNNNNNNNNNNNNNNNNNNNNNNNNNNNNNNNNNNNNNNNNNNNNNNNNNNNNNNNNNNNNNNNNNNNNNNNNNNNNNNNNNNNNNNNNNNNNNNNNNNNNNNNNNNNNNNNNNNNNNNNNNNNNNNNNNNNNNNNNNNNNNNNNNNNNNNNNNNNNNNNNNNNNNNNNNNNNNNNNNNNNNNNNNNNNNNNNNNNNNNNNNNNNNNNNNNNNNNNNNNNNNNNNNNNNNNNNNNNNNNNNNNNNNNNNNNNNNNNNNNNNNNNNNNNNNNNNNNNNNNNNNNNNNNNNNNNNNNNNNNNNNNNNNNNNNNNNNNNNNNNNNNNNNNNNNNNNNNNNNNNNNNNNNNNNNNNNNNNNNNNNNNNNNNNNNNNNNNNNNNNNNNNNNNNNNNNNNNNNNNNNNNNNNNNNNNNNNNNNNNNNNNNNNNNNNNNNNNNNNNNNNNNNNNNNNNNNNNNNNNNNNNNNNNNNNNNNNNNNNNNNNNNNNNNNNNNNNNNNNNNNNNNNNNNNNNNNNNNNNNNNNNNNNNNNNNNNNNNNNNNNNNNNNNNNNNNNNNNNNNNNNNNNNNNNNNNNNNNNNNNNNNNNNNNNNNNNNNNNNNNNNNNNNNNNNNNNNNNNNNNNNNNNNNNNNNNNNNNNNNNNNNNNNNNNNNNNNNNNNNNNNNNNNNNNNNNNNNNNNNNNNNNNNNNNNNNNNNNNNNNNNNNNNNNNNNNNNNNNNNNNNNNNNNNNNNNNNNNNNNNNNNNNNNNNNNNNNNNNNNNNNNNNNNNNNNNNNNNNNNNNNNNNNNNNNNNNNNNAAGGAACCAUCUUUCUUCCUUACAAAUAACACAGGCCGCCCCCCAUAGUGAUGUACUAGGUCUGAUAAAGCCUUUUUCAAGUAAGUCCUUUAGUUGUUCCUUCAACUCUUUCAACUCUGUGGGGGCCAUUCUAUAGGGUGGAAUAGAUAUUGGAUGAGUAUCUGGUAGUAGGUCAAUAGAAAAUGCAAUUUCUUACUCUGGCGGAAGACAAAUAAGUUAAUCAGGAAAAACAUUGGGAAACUCAUUAACCACAAAGAUGGACCGAAUGGUUGGUGACUCUACUUCCAUAUCCUAAACCAGAACUAAGUUAUAAAUACAGCCAUUUCUGAUCAUCUUCUUUGCCUUCAGAUAAGAAAUAAAUAUACCUCUCGGCGACGCCGUAUUACCUUUCCACUCCAAAACAGGCUCCUCUGGAAAUUGAAACCGAACUAUCUUUCAUCUACAAUUAAUGUUGGCAUGACAAGAAGCCAACUAAUCCAUACCCAUUAUAACAUCAAAUUCUACCAGAUCUAACUCGAUUAGGUCCGCUAUGGUAGAUCGAUUAUGAAUUACUAUUAUACAACCCCUAUAUACUCGCUUAGCUAUCAUAGAGUCUCCAAUAGGUGUAGACACCUCAAAAGGAUUAACCAAUUCAGGUUUUAUUCCAAACUUAUUAGCAACCAACGGAGUAACAUAUGAUAAGGUGGAACCUUGGCCAAUCAGUGCAUAUACAUCAUAUGAGGAGAUAGAUAAUAUACAUGUAACAACAUUAGGCGAUGACUCCUAGUCCUGUCGUCCUGCCAAUGCAUAAAUGCGGUUCUUAGGACUGCUCGAGCUAGAUGCUCCGCCUCUACCUCUACCAUGACUCAUUAUUGCUUGUGGACCUUUCCCAAGGGGGCGUACUGAUGAUGAAGAACCAGCUACAGAUCCCGCUGGCUGAGCUAUACUUGCAUAACCUCUCGUUGGACAAUCCCUCAUAACAUGGCCCGGAUAACCACAAGUAUAACAAACACCCAACCUCAUACAACACUGUACGACAUGCUGCUUACAACACUGAGCACAUCGUGGAAAGGGCAGCCUCAUCUGACUUGACUCACCCCUAUACUGAGAACCUGAGGCAUUGAAAUUCUGAACAGACACUGAAUAUGUAGAACGAUCAAAUCUCUUACCGCCAAACAAAUGGGGCACACUAGCCAAUGGCUGGGCUAGAUACCUCGGGUACUGUUGCCUCUGACCACCUCAAAACUCACCAGAAGGACCCAAAGACCUUGCUAAUCUUAUUCUGGGCCCUAUCGUGCUCACGAUCCAUCCUCUGUUUUUGCUUACGCUCCUCUAAACCCUGAGCUUAUGCCUGAAUACGAGAAAUAUCCAUGUCUGGCUGAAGUGAGACCGACAUACAAUCAUUGAACAAGUGCAACUCUAAUCCCAUCACGAACUGGUGAACCCUAUCCUCCAUCUUAGAUACAAUAGUGGGAGCAUACCUAGACAAUGAAUCAAAUUGAAGUAUGUACUCCCGAACACUCAUGUUACCCUGCUGAAGGGUCAAGAACCUAUCAACUCUGGCCCACCUAAGCUCUAGUGGAAGAUAAUGAUGAAGAAAAUCUUCAGUAAACUCCUGCCAUACUGCUGGAGGGACGUCCUCACCUUUGGACAAUUCCCAAGACUCGUACCAAUUAAUUGCAACAUCUCGAAGUCUAUAGGAAGCUAGCUCAACUGACUCAGUCGCAGUGGCCUUCAUUACCCUUAACGUCUUCUGCAUUCUAUCAAUAAAUACCUGAAGGUCUUCAUUUGGAUCUACCCCAGUGAAUACCGGAGGGUCCAAAUUAAUGAAAUCACGAACCCUCGCACUGAUGGACCUAUCCGCAUGACCAAUACCUACUUCCUGAUGUUGAGCCUAUGCGGCUACUAAUUGAGUUUUUAACUGAAUAACAUCUCUCAUCUCCUGACCCGGUGCAUCUGGAUGAGGAGAUGGACGUACAGGGGCCGCGCUGGAGCUAGUUCCCUGGAACUCUUAUGGAAAUGGCGGGGUAUGUGAAGUCUGAGAUGGAAUCUCACUAUGAGACUCUCCCCGAGCCCUGGUAACUCGUGGCGCUCGACUAGUAGUCUUGCCAGCCAUGGACUUUCCCUUCUGGGCGGCUAUAGUCUUCGAAGGCAUCGCUAAAAAUAUAACAUAUUGUUAGGAACACGAAUUCNNNNNNNNNNNNNNNNNNNNNNNNCCACGUUGGGGGGUGGGGGUGGGGUUAAUCAUUAUCCUCUAUAUUUAUUAAUUAACUAUGUAAUAUUCCGUUACCCGGUAAUUAACCAAUUACCCGUAUAAUUAAGAAUUAUCUUAAAUUACCUAAAAAUACUACUCAUUUUUAAUAUACUUUAUACAUCAUACUAUCACGGUCAUAUGGUGUGUUUUAUGGUACUAGUCCAUAAAUAUCGAGUAUUGUCGCUCGACCCGUAUUUUAUUCCAAAUUGGAAACCUUCAACAAAACUUGUUUUUUUAUUCGUGUACACUUUAUCCUUCGUGGCACUUACUUAUCGCUUAUUAUAAAUAACAUAAAUACGUUAACCUCAUGAUAAUCUUAUCCCCGAGUCUAUGUCGAUUAACUGAAGAUGAAACUUUAACGUACGAAUUGCGAGAUGUAACAUCCUUCCCCCAUUAGAAACAUUCAUUCUCGAAUGUUCAACUCCCCGGGAUCUGUAUAACUUCGGCCUCCCAAGUCAUUUCUCCCCCCUUAGAAACAUUGUUUCUCCAAAGUACUUUCACCGAAGCUAUGUCUUUAGUUCUCAAUCUCCAAACCUGUCUGUCUAGUAUAGCAAUGGGAGUUUCUUCAUAUGAUAGCUGCUAUGUGACCUGAACGUUGUCAACUGACACAAUUUUGGAAGGAUCUCUGAUACAUUUACGGAGCAUAUACACAUGAAAGACUGGAUGUACAUACUCCAAGUCCGAAGGCAAGUCCGACUCAUAUGCUACCUGGCCUACCUUGCGUAUGAUCCUAUAUGGUCCAAUGUACCGAGGCUAAGUUUUCCUUUUCUUCCGAACCUCAUAACACCUUUCAUCGGUGAUGCCUUUAGGAAUACCGAAUCAUCAACCUAAAAUUCCAAGUCUCGCCGGUGAUUACCCGCAUAAGACUUCUGACGGCUUUGAGAUGCUAAUAGCCUUUCCUGUAUAAGCUUAACUUUCUUGAUUGCCUCCUGUACAAAUUCUGGUCCUACUAAUGUAGUUUCCCUAACAUCGAACCACUCUAUAGGUGACCUACACUUCAGUUUGUAAAGAGCUUCGUAUGGAGCCAUCUGAAUACUGGAAUGGUAGCUAUUAUUAUAUGCGAGUUCAAUAAGCAGCAAAUGAUCAUCCCAGCUACCUUUGAAGUCUAUCACACAAGCUCGUAACAUAUCCUCAAGUGUCUGAAUAGUACGCUCAGCCUGUCCGUCUGUCUGGGGAUGAAAUGUUGUACAAAGACUUACCUGAGUCCCCAAUCCUUUUUGGAAAGACCUCCAAAAGCUAGCUAUAAAUUGAGUUCCUCUAUCAGAGAUAAUAGAUAAAGGGACACCAUGCAUUCAUACUUUAUCCUUAAUAUAAAGCCUUGCAUAAUCCUGUUGUGGAAUAUGUAGUCUAAUGGGCAGAAAAUGGGUUGACUGUGUAAGCCCAUCAAUAACCACCCAUAUCGAAUCGAACGUACACUGGGUACGAGGCAAGCUUUUGUUGAAAUCCAUAUCAAUUACUUCCUAUUUCCAAGUCGAAAUCUCCAUAGCCUGCAUUAAUCCACCGGGUUUCUAAUCUCAAUCUCAACUUGCUGACAGUUAGGACACUGAGCAAAAAACUACGCUAUAUACUUUUUCAUUCCGUCCCAUCAAUAUACUUCCUUGAUAUCAUGAUACAUCUUUGUUGCUCCUGGAUGGAUAGAAUAAUGAGAGUACUGACUCCCAUAACCUGCCAACGCAGCCCUGCAACAUUAGGGACACAUAAUCAUCCUCGAUAUCUGAGGACGCCAUAUUCUGUAAUCUCAAACAGUGUCUUUUCUUUCUAAGAGUUGGUAUUCCUAUGAUGAACUGACACUGGAUCCUCGUAUUGACGUUCAUUCACUUCAGUUACUAAUGAGGAUGUUGUUGUAUCCUGAAUAGUAAUUCCAAUAUCACCUGAGUCUAGUUACCGAACUCCAAGACUAGCUAGCUGAUGAAUCUCAUAGGCUAUUCCCCUCUUCUCUGGCUAUAAAUAUGAUAGGCUACCCAUCGAUCUACGGUUGAGGGUGUCGGCUACCACGUUCGCCUUCCCCGGUGGUAUAAAAUAUCAACAUCAUAGUCUUUAAGUAGCUCCAACCAUCUUCUUUGAUGUAAAUUCAAUUCCUUUUGACUGAAGAUAUACCAGAGGCUCUUAUGAUCCGUAUAGACAUCAACAUGAAUGCCAUAUAAGUAGUGCAUCCACAUCUUUAGUGCAUGAAUCACUGCGGCUAACUCUAAAUCGUGGCUCGGGUAAUUCUUCUCGUGCUUUCUUAGUUGUCUAGAAGAAUAAGCUACAACCUUACCAUGCUACAUUAGCACACAACCCAGCCCAAUGCCUGAAGCGUCACAAUAGAUAACGUAACCAUCGGUCCCUUCUGGGAGCGUUAGAACUAGUGCUGAAGUUAAUCUGUCCUUCAAUGCCUGGAAACUUCGUUCACAAGCGUCAGUCCAUUGAAACUUUGCUCCCUUCUGAGUCAACUUCGUCAAAGGUGAUGAAAGGGAAGAAAAUCCCUCUACAAAUCUCUUAUAAUAGCCUGCCAAAUCGAGAAAGCUACGAACCUCCAUCGGUGUUGUGGGUCUAGGCCAAGUCUUUACUUCCUCAAUCUUUUGUGUUUCCACCCGGAUGCCUUCACGUGAAAUGAUAUGCCCAAGGAAAGUUACAGAGUUCAACUAGAAUUCACAUUUAGAGAAUUUUGCAUACAACUUCCCUUUAUGUAGAACUCUGAGAACAGUACGCAGAUGAUCUACAUGCUCAGCCUCUGAAUGAGAAUACACCAAUAUAUCAUCGAUAAAUACAAUUACGAACAGAUCUAAAAAGGGCCUGAACACAGGGUUUAUCAAAUCCAUGAAUACUGCUGGGGCAUUGGUUAAACCGAAUGUCAUAACACGAAACUCCUAAUGCCCGUAGCUGGUCCUGAAUGUUGUCUUCGGAAUAUCUUCCUCCUUAACCCUUACCUGAUGGUAUCCAGACCUCAAGUCUAUAUUUGAAAAAUACUUGGCACCUUGCAACUGAUCAAAUAAAUCAUCAAUCCUCGAGAGCGGGUACUAAUUCUUGAUCGUCACCUUAUUCAACUAUCUAUAAUCAAUACACAUCCGUAAGGAACCAUCUUUCUUACUUACAAAUAACACAGGCGCUCCCCACGGUGAUGCAAUAGGUCUGAUAAAGCAUUUUUCAAGUAAGUCCUUUAGUUGUUCCUUUAACUCUUUCAUCUCUGUGGGGGCCAUUCUAUAGGGAGGAAUAAAUAUUGGAUAAGUAUCUGGUAGUAGGUCAAUAGCAAACUCAAUUUCUAGCUCUGGCGGAAGACCCAGAAGUUCAUUAGGAAAAACAUCGGGAAACUCAUUAACCACAGGGAUGGACCGAAUGGUUGGUGACUCUACUUCCAUAUCCUGAAGUCGAACUAAGUGAUAAAUACAGCCCUUUCUGAUCAUCUUCCUUGCCUUGAUAUAGGAAAUAAAUCUACCUCUCGGCGACACCGUAUUACCUUUCCACUCCAAAACAGGCUCCCCUAGAAAUUGAAAUCGGACUAACUUUGAUCUACAAUCAACUUUGGCAUGACAAGAAGCCAACCAAUCCAUACCCAUUAUAAUAUCAAUUCUACUAUAUCUAACUCAAUUAGGUCUGCUAUGGUAGAUCGUUUAGGAAUUACUAUUAUACAACCCCUAUAUACUCGCUUAGCUAUCACUGAGUCCCCAAAAGGUGUAGACACUUCAAAAGGAUUAACCAAUUUAGGUUUUAUUCCAACAUUACUAACAACCAAUGGAGUAACAUAUGAUAUGGUGGAACCUGGGUCAAUGAGUGCAUAUACAUCAUAUGAGGAUACUGAUAAUAUACCUGUAACAACAUCAGGCGAUGACUUCUGCUCCUGUCGUCCUGCCAAUGCAUAAAUACAAUUCUGAGGACUGCUCGAGCUAGAUGAUCCGCGUCUGCCUCUACCAUGACUCAUUGGUGCUUGUGGACCUUGCCUAAGGGGGCGUACUGAUGAUGAAGAACCAUCUAUAGAUCCCACUGGCUGAGCUAUGCUUGCAUCACCUCUCGUCAGACAAUCCCUCAUAUCGUGGCCCGAAUAACCACAAGUAUAACAAACACCCAACCCCAUAUAGCACUGCACGACAUACUUCUUACCAUACUAAGUACAUCGUGGCAAGGGCGGCCUCAUCUAACUUGACUCACCCCUAUACUGAGAAUUGAGGCCCUAAAAUUUUUACCAGACCCUGAAUAUGUGGAACGAUCAAAUCUCUUACCGCCAAAUUGAAGGGGCAUGCUAGCCAAUGGGUGGGCUGUAUACCUCAGUUACUGUUGCCUCUGACCAUCUCGAAACUCACCAGAAAUACCCGAAGACCUCGCUCUCUUAUUAUGGGCCCUAUCAAGCACACGAUCCAUCCUAUGGUUUUGCUUACGCCCUUUAUACCCUGAGCGUAUGCCUGAAUACGAGAAAUAUCCAUGUUCGGCUGAAGUGAGACCAACAUACAUUCGUUAAACAUGUGUGACUCUAAUCCCAUCACGAACCGGUGAACCUGAUCCUCCGUCUUAGAUACAAUAGUGUGAGCAUACCUAGACAAUGAAUCAAACUAAAGACUAUACUCCCGAACACUCAUGUUACCCUGUCGAAGGGUCAAGAACCUAUCAACUCUGGCCCGCCUAAGCUUUGGUUGCAGAUAAUGAUGAAGAAAAGCUUUUGUAAACUCCUGUCAUACUGCUGGAGGGGCAUCAUCACCUCUAGACAAUUCCCAAGACUCAUACCAAUUAAUUGCAACAUCUAGGAGUCUAUAGGAAGCUAGCUCAACUGACUCAGUCACAGUGGCCUUUAAUACCCUUAACGUCCUCUGUAUUCUAUCAAUAAAUACCUGAGGGUCUGCUUUUGGAUCUUCCCCUGUGAAUACCGAUCACAUGAAGGAAGAUCCCUCCACCAGUCUAGCUAGAGUGAGGGUGUGCUAACCAUACCGAAUCUGGGGACCUCGUGCCUCAUUUUUUGCAAAACAAAGAGAGUUAGGCCCUUUCCCCCUCCAGUUUCAUCUAUUUAUACAAUAAUGAUUAGUAUAUUGGCACUUAUUUCUCCAAAUUAAUGCACAUAAUCGUGGUUACGUCCAUUGGGAUUAUGAAAAACCCAAUAGACUUUUGGACAACGCUUGUCUUAAAAGGUUAUUAUGUGGACAACAUAUUAACCAGGAUAGGUUUGACCAUGAUGCAUGCACAAUUUAAUCAGAGUAAGGUUGCUAUAGAGGUCUAUACUGGGACCCUCAAGCGGACAUCUCGAGGGGGAAAGGCACGGAACCAUCGAACGCACCGCUGAUCGACUAGUUUUACCGCAAAUAUGCCUUUCCGAAUUUAAAUGGUGAUAUAUAGGAAGAGCGCAAAAACUCAUCAAGCAUUGCUAUAGGAUUAAUUACGCACGAGUGAAGUAUGAUGUUGAGCAUGAUUUAUGCAGCAAUAAAUAACAUGUAGUCAAUUAUUUGCACGUAAGAAAAUAAUAAAUGCAGUAUUUAAAUAAAUCAAAAGACAGUUGCAGAAAAAGAAAAUAAGGAGACAAGUCAGUUUCAGGAAUAAAAGAAUCAUAAAUGCUUGAAAAUAGAUAGUUAAAUUCAAAUAAGGGAAAAUGGUAUGUGGGAUAUAGCAUGCUUGGACUAAUUCACAGAAGAUAAGUUCGUUAUGGUAAGAGCCUAAAACAUCCCCAGCAGAGUCGUCAUGCUGUCGCGCCCCCUUUUUCCCCUUUUUGACGAGGAAGUCCGUGUUUCGACAUUCAUGGGGGAAAUAACUCAUUUCCUUUUGGGAAAUUGGGUAUUUGAAAAGUCGUCACCUAACGGAUUAUGGUGCGUUAGGGCACCUUGAGCAAUUAACUCAUGGACUAGUUUGCAUUACCAGAGAUCUAGGGUAAGGGCUCGAAAUAAUCUUGAGGGGAAGGUGUUAGGCACCCCUCGCGAUCCACAACGGUGGGUCCCGGCCGAACUUAAACUAUGUGAAUUAGUCAUUUUAACAAAUAAACAGUUUUAACACGUACUUGCAAGUAAACGCAUGUUUUGAAAUUCUAAGCUCAUGUAUGAUUCAAGUAAUGGAACAAGGGAAAAGGUUCGAACAAGUUACACAUAUAUAAAGAAAGGAAAAUUUAUUUAAACUACCGGAGUUGGGAAAGAGGGGUCCUAGGUUGGUUGGCCUACAGGAUCAUACCCAUACAAUGCCCGGUAAGAACUCCUCAAUGAGGGGCUACACGUGACAUUAGCGUGUAGUCAUCAUAUCCUUACUACCUAAUUCCCUCCCCUUGGUUAUAGCUUAAAGCGUUAGCAACCUUGAAAGAUAUCUUAUGCGUUCACUACCCGUCCCUUCCUUGUGACCCUGAAGGUAUUUAGGACCUCUAAUUUAGGUAGUUGUAGACCAUCCUAAGGUAUUUAAAGGAGAAAAGUGUAAGCGUCAAUGAAAACAAUUAGGACUGCAUUAAAGAAGGAACAAUUAAAGGCUCACAUGUUUACCUCCCCAAACAGAACAAAUAAGUGCACGUCGCAAACAACAGUUUCAAGUAUUUAAGAGAAAACCUUAGAAAAUGAUAUAUAGAUGAGUAGAGAGUAUACACUAUUGAAUUAGGACCAAAGUGUCAAAGACCUAAAUCCUACUUGCCUACUGAUUCUUUUAAACCUGUUGAAUGUGAGCAGUCUCAAAUAACAAGGCGCGGUUUUAUAGUUUACAAGGUUUUAGUCGCCUUACAGGCUUGCCUAGACGCAUAAUAGUGAUAUCCUAGGAGCAUGAUAUCUAUUAUUGAUUAAGAAUGCAAUGAAACAACAAACAAUUUUUCUUUUAAAAUGGCAGUUUAGAUCCUAUAAGAAUGUUCUCUAGUAAUAUUAAUUAAGACAGCAUUGAAAACGUAUUAAAGGAGUGGACAGAUUAAUUAACAAAACCGAUUCAGAAUAAACAUGAAUUAAACUGAUUUUCUAGCUAAACUGGUUUUAAGUCCUAUAGGCAUGAUUUCUAAUUAAACAUAAUGUGAAGCAAGCUGAAUUCAUUUGAUCAAAGUGAAACCUCUACAGGCAUGAUUUCUAUUAAAGCUAAAUUUAACUCAUAUAGGCAUGGUAUCUAAUUAUUAAAAGCUGAUUUAGAUCCUAUAGGCAUGGUCCCUAUUAUUAAAGAGGAUUUAGAUCUUAUAGGCAUGGCUUCUAAUUGUGUGGAAGUAAGGUAAACAGAACUUAUUUAAACUAAAGCAGGUCCUAUAUGCAUAUUAUCUAACAUACACAUCUGAAUCAAUAAGUACCCUAUAGGCAUAGUAUUUACCCAAUUUUACCCACAAUAUAACUCUACCAACCCUUUUUACUAGUCACCCCACUGUUUGUUUACAAUAAUUAUUACAGACUAAUGAAUUGAAUAAAAAAAUUACAUAAAUAGAACAUAAAUUAAUCUAUAGGGAGCCUGAAGUAGGCCCAAAAUGAUUUCCAAGCCUCCACUAAUCUCAAAUGCCCAAAGUUUCAUAGUCAAUUUCAUGUCUAGGUGUGUUAGAGUUCCCUAAGGACCUCAAGGACCCCGGGCAGUGCUCACACCUAGACCUUUCUCAAAUAAUAACUGAUUUAGGUGCAGUGUGGAAGUACCAGCCCUGACAUGCCAAAGUUCAGAGAGAUCUCAAGGGUCUCAAGGCAGUACAUAUAUCAGAGGGGUAGGACCUAAUAUUCUAAGAGUAAUUGGAAGUGCAUAAUGGUUUGAAAGAGUUUAAUAGACAAUUUAAAGAAAUGUCUUAGGAUUGAAAAGAAUUUAUGAGAAUCAGUGCUGAUUUAAUUAUAAAACAGUUUGAGGAAGUGUAAAGAAAUAAUUUGCAAACAGUUUUUAGGAAGUACUUUGGCAAACAGCUUUCACACAAGGGAAGAGGGGUUAGGAACAUAGAGAGGACACCUUGGUGGAGCACACAAUCGAUAGGAUACAUAGAGCUUUUGAAGGGUUCUAUAGAACUAGUAGGUUAGAUAGAAUGCAAGUCAAGCAGCAAGGAUCACAUCAGAAACAUGUUUAGGACAUCAACACAACUAGAAUCACUCUACAGAGAUUAACUAACUUAGCAGAAGAGGGACAGAACAGGUAAGGACUUAAAUGAGCAUGCUAGGCAGGUAUUAACAAGUGAAGGCAUGCUAGUUACAUAGAAGCAGAGCUUAGGCAUGCCAGAUAAACCGUAUUUAAUCAAAUAGCUUAGUUACAUAUGUAGACAUGUUAAACAAAAUAGCAAACCAAACUUAAGCUAUGUGAAUUAAUCAUUUUAACAAAUAAAUAGUUUUAACACGUACUUGCAAAUAUAGGAAUAAUUUGACAUUCUAAGCUCAUGUAUGAUUCUGAGUAAUGGAACAAGGGAAAAGGUUUGAACAAGUUGCACAUAUAUAAAGAAGAGCAAAUUUAUUUAAACUACGGGAGUUGGGAAAGAGGGGUCCUAGGUUGGUAGGCCUACAGGAUCAUACCCACACAAUGCCCGGUAAUCACUCCUCAAUGAGGGGAUACACGUGGCAUUAGCGUGUAGUCAUCAUAUCCUUACUANNNNNNNNNNNNNNNNNNNNNNNNNAGCAACCUUGAAGAUAUCUUAUGCGUGCACUACCCGUCCCUUCAUUAUGGCCCUGGAGAUAUUUAGGACCUCUAAUUUAGGUAGUUGUAGACCAUCCUAAGGUAUUUAACGGAGAAAAGUCUAAGCGUCAAUCAAAACAAUUAGGACUGCAUUUAAAGAAGGAACAAUUAAGGGCUCACAUUUUUACCUCCCCAAAUAGAACAAAUAAGUGCACGUCUCAAACAACAGUUUCAGGUAUUUAAGAAAAACCUUAGAACAUGAUAUCUAGAUGAGUAGAGAGUAUAAAGUAUUGAAUUAGGACCAAAGUGUCAAAGACCUGAAUCCUACUUGCCUAUUGGUUCUUUUAAACCAGUUGAAUGUGAGCAGUCUCAAAUAACAAGGCGCAGUUUUAUAGUUUACAGGGUUUUAGUCGCCCUACAGGCUUUCCUAGACGCAUAACAGUGAUAUCCUAGGAGCAUGAUAUCUAUUAUUGAUUAAGAAUGCAAUGAAAUAGCAAACAAUUUUUCUUUUAAAAUGGCAGUUUAGAUCCUAUAGGAAUGUUCUCUAGAAAUAUUAAUUAAGACAGCGUUGAAAACUUAUAAAAGGAGUGGACAGAUUAAUUAACAAAACCGAUUCAGAAUAAACAUGAAUUAAACUGAUUUUUUAACUAAACUGGUUUUAAGUCCUAUAUGCAUGAUUUCUAAUUAAACAUAAUGUGAAGCAAGAAGAAUUCAUUUGACCAAAGUGAAACCCCUAUAAGCAUGAUUUCUAUUAAAGCUGAUUUUAACUCCUAGAGGCAUGGUACCUAAUUAUUAAAAGCUGAUUUAGAUCCUAUAGGCAUGGUCUCUAUUAUUAAAGCAGAUUUAGAUCCUAUAGGCAUGGCUUCUAAUUGUGUGGAAGUAAAUUAAACAGAACUUAUUUAAACCAAAGUAGGUCCUAUAGGCUAGUUAUCUAACAAAUACAUUUGAAUCAAUAAGGACCGUAUAGGCAUGCUGUCUACCCAAUUUUACCAAUAAUAUACAACUACCCUCCCUUUUUACUAGCCACCCUACUGUUUGUUUACAAUAAUUAUUAUAGACCAAUGAAUUUAAUAAAAAAAAUUACAUAAAUAGAACAGAAAUUAAUCUAUAGGGAGCCUGAAGUAGGCCUAAAAUGAUUUCCAAGCCUCCAGUAGUCUCAAAUGCCCAAAGUUCCAUAGCCAAUUUCAUGUUUAGGUGUGUCAGAGUUCCCUAAGGACCUCAAGGAUCCCGGACAGUGCUCACACCUAGACUUUUCUCAAAUAAUAACUAAUUUAGGUGCAGUGUGGAAGUGUCAGCCCUGACAUGCCAGAGUUCAGAGAGAUCUUAAGGGUCUCAAGGCAGUACACAUAUCAGAGGGGCAGAACCUAGUAUUCUAAGAGUAAGUGUAAAUGCAUAAUGGUUUGAAAGAGUUUAAUAGACAAUUUAAAGAAAGGUCUUAGGAUUGAAACGAAUUUAUGAGAACCAGUGCUGAUUUAGUGAUAAAAUAGUUUGAGGAAGUGUAAAGAAACAAUUUGCAAAUAGUUUUUAGGAAGUACUUUGGCAAACAACUUUCACACAAGGGAAGAAGGGUUAGUAACAUAGAGAGGACGCCUUAAUGGAGCACACAAUCGACAGGAUACAUAGAUCUUUCGAAGGGUUCUAUAAAACUAGUAGGUUAGAUAGAAUGCAAGUCAAGCAGCAAGGAUCACAGCAGAAACAUGUUUAGGACAUCAACACAACUAGAAUCACUCUACAGAGAUUAACUAACUUAGCAGGAGGGGGACAGAACAUGUAAGGAGUUAAAUGAGCAUGUUGCGCAGGUAUUAACAAGUGAAGGCAUGCUAGUUACAUAGAAGCAGAGUUUAGGCGUGCCAGAUAAACCGUAUUUAAUCAAACAGCUUAGUUACAUAUGUAGACAUGUUAAACAAAAUAGCAAACAGGCAGGUAAAGUGGAAACAUACUAAUCACAUGUUUGAAUAGGCAGUAUUGGGCAUGCUGGGUAAGCAGUAAAGAGAAGCAAGAAUGGACUCAGGCCAUAUGAACUAAGACAGUAAAUAAACACAAGGUUUUGAUUCUUAAAAUUAAUCAGAAGCAUACCUAGUUAAAGAAAGAAAACACAAUAUUUGAGCAAGGUAUUGUGCAAUUCCCAGCCUUGACUUGCAACCAGCUAGAAUAACAAGGAUCACAAGUCGCAAAGAGAGCAGAGAGAGAGCCUUUUAGAGUGUAAAAGUGGUAGUCUUUUGAAUUAUUGUUCGUGUUUUGAAGUUAAAAUAAGAGGGAGUUUAUAUAGUAAUCAAGAGUUAAACAAAAUAAGGUAAGGGAUCAAUUAAGUAGCAAUUAGGGAAAUUCACAAAAUCAGUCACACAUGUAAAAUCAGUAGGUCUUCCUCUUAAUCAGAGGAUAAUCAAUCAACGGUAAAAACAGGACAAGUAUUUAAGGAAGGGAAUCAAGUAGGACUUGGAUAUAUAGUAGGUAAGUAGGUGUGAAUGAACGAGAGUUCAAUUAAGGAAACGAUUGGCAAGAAAUCAGCACAUAAUAAAUAAGGCAAAAGAAAACUUAAUUAAGGCAAGAAGUUCAAUCAAAAUGAGUAAAGAAGUAAGAAUCAAAGGUUUUGUUAAGGAAAAUAGUUUCAAUCAAACCAAAAUAAGAACUUCAGAAUAGUCCAUGAUUUAAUUAAAAGAGAAAAUCACGUAAAGAGUCAGAAAAUAUCGCAGACAAUCCAAACAGGCCAGGAAGGAAUAGUCAGGGCUCAGCAUAUAGUUUUAAACGAAGUAAAUUGGUAAAUCAAAAUUCAAAACAACCCUGAUUUAAGGAGAAAAAUAUAGUCUUAACAUGAACAGUCAGAAUGAACAUAAACAUAUAGAAUCAGUAGAAAAGUUGAACUAAGAAACUCAGUAGAGGCAUAUUAAGAUAAGAAAACCACGAGACAUCUAAAUGUCUAAAGAAAAAUCACAAGAACUAAGGCAAGAACAAAGUCAGUACACAAGUACUCAGAAACCAAACAAAGAAUGUCGAAAAAAUUAGGGCUUCUAGUAUAAACAAGUUAGGGUUAGGGAAAACCUAAUGAAAUCGAUUAGAACAUAUAGGAAACAGAAGAUUAAACACUCAAAAUUACCAAAUGUUUUGGAAGAAAAAAUUUUCGGAAACCCUAGUUUAGAGAGAAAUGAAAAAUCAUUCGAAAAUCAAACGGUUCUUGUAAAAAUCAAAAGAUUCUUGUAAAACUCAUAUGAAAUAGGCCCAAAUCAUCUCAGAUCUGUACAGAUCUAAGAAGUUCAGAAGAAAGAAAUUAGGGUUUCGACAAGAACAAUCACAAAGAUGAAGAAGCAAUCCUAGAAACCCAUUGAUAUAGGAAGAUCUUACUCGAAAUCAAACCGGGACAGCCUGAAAUAGGCGAGAAAUGGCCAUAGAGGCAAGCAAACUAACCCUGGUCCCUUGAGGACCCUGGAGAUGGUGAUACCACUACAAGAGAGGCCAUUAGAGGCCUGGGGGUGGUGAGAAACCACCAUAGAUAGCCAUAUAUGAGUGACAGCGAGGUCUAAUUAGGGUUAGGUUAGAGAGCAUUUGAGAGAGGAGAGGAUUUGGUGAUGGCGUGAGAGGUGAGGGAAAUGGGAGGGUUUUUGGGGGGCCAUUAGGUUUAAUUUAGGUAAGGGUUAAUCUGGACCAUUGGUCACAAUGAUCGACGGCCAAGAUUUUCCCAGGUAUUGGGUUGGGGCAGAGGGGUAUUGGACUGGGUAUAUUUUGGGUUUAAAAAUGGGCUGAGUGUUAGGUCCAAUUUUGGAUUAGCAUUGAAUGUAAAAUAGGGCCAGAUUUUAAAUAGCUAAUUUUAAUAACUAAAUAAUUUAUAAAAAUAAUAAAUGAGUUCCAAAAAUAUAUUUGUGUACUAAAAUGAUUUAAAGUAGUUAUUUAAUAUUUUUAAAAAUAUAAAAGAUUAUUUUAUGCAUAAAUAAUGUAAUUAUACAUUAGUAUGGGCUAUUAUUGCAAAGAUGUGCAAUUUAGCCUAAAAAUGUAAAUGCAAUUAUAAAAAUGCACUAAAAAUAUUUAAACACUAUGUUGGCAUAAAUAAUGAAUUUAAAUGGAUAAAUCAACGCGAAAGAUAAUUAUUGGAUAUUUAUGUAAUAAAAAGAGAAGAAAUAAAUUGAUUUGGAGCUUUUUUUUAAAAUUAUGGAAAAAUUAUAAAACAUAUUUAUGUAUGCUUAUAACUGCAUAUGUGCUAUUUUGAAAGUAUAUAUAUGUUCAAAAUAUGUGAGAAAAAAUUGGGUAUCAACAUCUGCCCCUCUUUACCCAGGAAGGAUGGAAGAGUUUUCGGGUAAAGAAAUGAUGACCAAUUUUGACCAAAUGGGGUGUUUUUGAAAGAUAAAGGCCGGACUCUGGUCUUGAGUUGCCUACAUAUCCCUGGUUUUAUAGGAAUCAGGCCAUGUGUAGUUCUAGAUUCAUUGGUGAAAUAUACUGAUGAAGUCAUUGCAAGAACGGACACGAGAUGCAAGAGCGGUUGUGGUGAACGGUUAGGUUUGAGGUAAUUUGAAGGAACUGGAGCGAGGUCGCUCCUGCUAGGAUAGCAGUUGCUUGCUAUUCACCUACAGAUAAAGAGAUGCUACAGACAUGUAUUUGUACGGAAAUUUAAACAUGAUGCAGAUUCCCUUUGGACCAUGAUAGUUGUCUUUGGACGGUUAAGGAUGAUGUCCCCAGACCAUGAUGUCCUAGGCCAUGAAUUGUUUAGUGAGGGAUUUGUAAGCCAUGAAAUGGUGUUCUCGAGCCAUGCAGAUGGUGCCUCCGAACCAUGACGCCUUUGAAUAAUGAUAUGCAAAUUUGAGGGAUUCUCAGGCGAUGGCAUGAUGUCUUCCGGCUAUGAGGAUGAUGACUUUUAGACUAUGAAACCCUUGGAUAGAUUGGUGAUAUUUCAUCCCAUGAGAUGCAAUAAUACGAUGCUACCAAUACAAGGCUUAGUCUUGUGAAAUGCAGGGCAGGGCUUAGCCCGAUCGCAAAACAAACAGAUAGUACCAGAAUAGAGCAAUAUUUAUGUAAGGAUGGACCAUGCUUUGUCCCGUGCAAAUGUGGAGGCAAAGAUUAGCCUCAUGCAAAUGUGGAGGCAGAGAUUAGCCUCAUACAAAUAUGGAGGCAGGGAUUAGCCUCAUGCAAAUAUGGAGGCAAGAAUUAGCCUCAUGCAAGUAUAGCGACAGGGAUUAGCCUUAUGCAGGUAUGGAGGUAGGGAUUAACCUCAUGCAGGUGUAGAGGCAAGGAUUAGCCUCAUGCAGAUAUAGAGGCAAGGAUUAGCCUCAUGCAGACAUGGAGGCAGGGAUUAGCCUCAUGCAGAUGUGGAGGCAGGGAUUAGCCUCAUGUAGAUAUGGAGGCAAGGAUUAGCCUCAUUCAAAUAUGGAGGCAGGGAUUAGCCUCAUGCAAGAUACAGAGGCAAUGAUUAGCCUCAUGCAAAUAUAGAGGCAAGGAUUAGCCUCAUGAGGAUAUGGAGGCAAAGAUUAGCCUCAUGCAAGAUAUGGAGGCAAGGAUUAGCCUUAUGCAAGAUAUGGAGGCAGGGAUUAGCCUCAUGCAAGAUAUAGAGGCAAUGAUUAGCCUCAUGCAAGUAUAGAGACAGGGAUUAGCCUCAUGCAAGUAGGGAGGCAAAGAUUAGCCUUAUGUACAUAUGGAGGCAAGGAUUAGCCUCAUGCAAAUAUGGAGGCAGGGAUUAGCCUCAUGCAAGUAUGGAGGCAGGGAUUAGCCUUAUGCAGAUAUGGAGGAAAGAAUUAGCCUCAUGCAAGUGUGGAGGCAAGGAUUAGCCUCAUGAAAAUAUGGAAGCAAGGAUUAGGGUAAAAUUAUGGGAUGUGAGAAAUGAAAGGAAACAAAAAAGUGAUAACUAGAGAAAAAAAAGGGAAGGAAAAUGAGCAAGCCAAGAAGUGCUAGAAAAGAAAGAAAAGAGAAGAUUGAAAUGAACAAAAUUGGGAUGAUGCCAAGUGACCUUGUUACCCUAGAAGUCAUUCUAGAACCGUUAAUUGUUGCUAGGUGCAUUGCACGCAAUGUGAUAUUUUAGCUGUUAAAUGCCCUAAUGCUAACAGGAUGUCCCCAUUCUGUUCCUUUUGUUAUCUUCAUUGAGCAGAAGGGUGGUUGGUUUGUGGUUUAAGUAACUCGUCCAUACAACACAAGGUCAAAGAGCAAGGUAGCCAUGUCUAGCAAAGAUUUGGAUAUAGGGGUUAUUGAUCUGUCUAAGGGAAUUAUUGAAUCAAAAUUUGAGUUGAAAGAAGAGGUAUUAAGGUUGAAAGGACAGAUGGCCGAAAUAUACCAAGCCUGGAUUAGUGGGCGUCCCCCCACCAUCAGUUCCCACUAACUACACUGAAAGCCUUGUCACCAUUCCGCCACUGUCACUAGUCCAAGAUAUCUCCCCACAACCUUUUCACACACAGUUAAAUUCAAAUAAGGGGAAAGGGUACGUGGGAUAGAGCAUGCUUGGACUAAUUCACAGAAGAUAAGUUUAUUAUGGUAAGAGCCUAAAAUAUCCCCAGUAGAGUCUCAAUGCUGUCGGUCCCUCUUUUUUCCCUUUUUUGACGGAGAAGUCCGGGUUUCGACAUUCAUGGGGGAAAUAACUUGUUUCCUUUUGGGAAUUAGGUAUUUGAAAAGUCGCCACCUAACGGAUUAUAGUGCAUUAGGGCACCUUGAGCAAUUAACUCAUCGACUAGUUUGCAUUACCAGAGAUCUAGGGUAAGGGCUCGAAAUAACCUUGAGGGGAAUGUGUUAGUCACCCCUCGCGGUCCACAACGGUGGGUCCCAACCAAACUUAAACUAUGUGAAUUAGUUAUUUUAACAAAUAAACAGUUUUAAUAUGUACUUGCAAGUAUAGGAAUAUUUUGACAUUCUAAGCUCAUGUAUGAUUCAAGUAAUGGAACAAGGGAAAAGGUUCGAACAAGUUGCACAUAUAUAAAGAAGAGCAAAUUUAUUUAAACUACGGGAGUUGGGAAAGAGGGGUCCUAGGUUGGUUGGCCUACAGGAUCAUACCCACACAAUGUCCGAUAAUCACUCCUCAAUGAGUGGCUACACGUGACAUUAGCACGUAAUCAUCAUAUCCUUACUACCCAGUUCCCUUCCGUUGGUCAUAGCCUAAAGCGUUCUAGCAGCCUUGAAAGAUAUCCUAUGCGUGCACUACCCGUCCCUUCAUUAUGGCCUUGAAGGUAUUUAGGACCUCUAAUUUAGGUAGUUGUAGGCCAUCCUAAGGUAUUUAAAGGAGAAAAGUCAAAGCGUCAAUCAAAAAAAAUAGGACUACAUUUAAAGAGGGAACAAUUAAAGGCUCACAUUUUUACCUCCCCAAACAGAACAAAUAAGUGCACGUCUCAAACAACAGUUUCAGGUAUUUAAGAAAAACCUUAGAACAUGAUAUCUAGAUGAGUAGAGAGUAUACAGUAUUGAAUUAGGACCAAAGUGUCAAAGACCUGAAUCCUACUUGCCUACUGAUUCUUUUAAACCUAUUGAAUGUGAGCAGUCUCAAAUUACAAGGCGCAGUUUUAUAGUUUACAGGGUUUUAGUCACCCUACAGGCUUGCCUAGACGCAUAAUAGUGAUAUCCUAGGAGCAUGAUAUCUAUUAUUGAUUAAGAAUGCAAUGAAACAACAAACAGUUUUUGUUUUAAAACGGCAGUUUAGAUCCUAUAGGAAUGUUCUCUAGUAAUAUUAAUUAAGACAACGUUGAAAACUUAUUAAAGGAGUAGACAAAUAAAUUAACUAAACCAAUUCAGAAUAACCAUGAAUUAAACUGAUUUUCUAACUAAACUGGUUUUAAGUCUUAUAGGCAUGAUUUCUAAUUAAACAUAAUGUGAAACAAGCAAAAUUCAUUUGACCAAAGUGAAACCCCUAUAGGCAUGAUUUCUAUUAAAGCUGAUUUUAACUAUUAUAGGUAUGGUACCUAAUUAUUAAAAGCUGAUUUAGAUCCUAUAGACAUGGUCUCUAUUAUUAAAGCGGAUUUAGAUCCUAUAGGCAUGACUUCUAAUUGUAUGGAAGUAAAGCAAACAGAACUUAUUUAAACCAAAGUAGGUCCUAUAGGCUAGUUAUCUAACAAACACAUUUGAAUCAAUAAGGACCCUAUAGGAAUGAUAUCUACCCAAUUUUAUCCACAAUAUACAACUACCCUCCCUUUUUACUAAUCACCCUACUGUUUCUUUACAAUAAUUAUUACAGACCAAUGAAUUGAAUAAAAAAGUUACAUAAAUAGAAAAAUUAAUCUUUAGGGAGCCUGAAGUAGGCCUACAAUGAUUGCCAAGCUUCCAAUAGUCUCAAAUGCCCCAAGAUCCAUACAGCCAAUUUCAUGUCUAGGUGUGUUAGAGUGCCCUAAGGACCGCAAGGAUCCCGGACAGUGCUCAUACCUAGACCUUUCUCAAAUCAUAACUAAUUUAGGUGCAGUGUGGAAGUACCAGCCCUGACAUGCUAGAGUUCAGAGAGAUCUCAAGGGUCUCAAGGCAGUACACAUAUCAGAGGGGCAGAACCUAGUAUUCUAAGAGUAAGUGGAAAUGCAUAAUGGUUUGAAAGAGUUUAAUAGACAGUUUAAAGAAAGGUCUUAGGAUUGAAAAGAAUUUCUAAGAACCAGUGCUGAUUUAGUGAUAAAACAAUUUGAGGAAGUGUAAAGAAACAAUUUACAAACAGUUUUUAGGAAGUACUUUGACAAACGGCUUUCACACAAGGGAAUAGGGGUUAGGAACAUAGAGAGGAGACCUUGAUGGAGCAUACAAUCGAUAGGAUACAUAGAGCUUUUGAAGUGUCCUAUAGAACUAGUAGGUUAGAUAGAAUGCAAGUCAAGCAGCAAGGAUUAAAUGAGCAUGUUGGGCAGGUAUUAACAAGUGAAGCAUGCUAGUUACAUAGAAGCAGAGUUUAGGCAUGCCAGAUAAACCGUAUUUAAUCAAACAGCUUAGUUACAUAUGUAGACAUGUUAAACAAAAUAGCAAACAGGCAGGUAAAGUGGAAACAUACUAAUCACAGGUUUGAAUAGGCAGUAUUAGGCAUGCUGGGUAAGAAGUAAAUAGAAGAAAGAAUGGACUCAAGCCAUAUGAACUAAGACAGUAAAUAAACACAUAGGUUUUGAUUCUUAAAAUUAAUCAGAAGCAUACCUAGUUAAAGAAAGAAAACACAAGAUGUGAGCAAGGUAUUGUGCAAUUCCCAGCAUUGGCUUGUAGCCGGCUAGAAUAUCAGGGAUCACAAGUAGCAAAAAGAUCAGGGAGAGAGCCUUUUAGAUUGUAAAGUUGUAGUCUUUUAAACUAUUGUUCGCGUUUUGAAGUUAAAAUAAGAAGGCGUUUAUAUAAUAAUCAAGAGUUAAACAAAAUAAGGUAAGGGAUAAAUUAAGUAGCAAUUAGGAAAAUUCACAGAAUCAGUCACACACAUAAAAUCAGUGGGUCUUCCCCUUAAUCAGGUGAUAAUCAAUCAACAGUAAAAGCAGGACUGGUAUUUAAGGAAGGGAAUCAAGUAGGACUAAGGUAUAGAGUAGGUAAGUAGGUGUGAAUGAACGAGAGUUCAAUUAAGGAAACGAUUGGCAAGAAAUCAGCACAUAACAAAUAAGGCAAGAGAAAACAUAAUUAAGGCAAGAAGUUCAAUCAAAAUGAGUAAAGAAGUAAUAAUCAAAGGUUUUGUUAAGGAAAAUAGUUUCAAUCAAACCAAAAUAAGAACUUCAGAAUAGUCCAGGAUUUAAUUAAAAGAGAAAAUCACGUAAAGAGUCAGAAAAUAUCGCAGACAAUCCAAACAGGCCAGGAAGGAAUAGUCAGAGCUCAGCAUAUAGUUUUAAACGAAGCAAAUUGGUAAAUCAAAAUUCAAAACAACCCUGAUUUAAGGAGAAAAAUAUAGUCUUAACAUGAAUAGUCAGAAUGAACAUAAACAUAUAGAAUUAGUAGAAAAGUUGAACUAAGAAACUCAGUAGAGGCAUAUUAAGAUAAGAAAACCACAAGACAUCUAAAUGGCUAAAGAAAAAUCACAAGAACCAAGGCAAGAACAAAGUCAGUACACAAGUACUCAGAAACCAAACAAAGAAUGUCGAAAAAAUUAGGGCUUUUAGUAUAAACAAGUUAGGGUUAGGGCAAACCUAAUGAAAUCGGUUAGAACAUAUAGGAAACAAAAGAUUAAACACUUAAAAUUACCAAAUGUUUUGGAAUAAGAAAUUUCUGGCAACUUAGUUUAGAGAGAAAUGAAAAAUCAUUCGAAAAUCAGACGGUUCUUGUAAAAAUCAAAAGCUUUUUGUAAAACUCAUAUGAAAUAGGUCCAAACCAUCUCAGAUCUGUACAGAUCUAAGAAGUUCAGAAGAAAGAAAUUAGGGUUUCGAGAAGAACAAUCACAAAGAUGAAGAAGCAAGCCUAGAAACCCAUAGAUAUAGGAAGAUCUUACUCGGAAUCAAACCGGGACAGCCUGAACAGGCUAGAAAUGGCCAUAGAUGCAAGCGAACUAACCCUGGUCCCUUGAGGACCCUAGAGAUGGUGAUACUAGUACAAGAGAGGCCAUUAGCGGCCCGGGGUGGUGAGAAACCACCAUAGAUAGCCAUAGAUGAGUGACGGCGAGGUCCGAUUAGGGUUAGGUUUGAGAGCAUUUGAGAGAGGAGAUGAUUAGGUGAUGACGUGAGAGAUGAGGGAAAUGAGAGGGUUUUGGGGGGGUCAUUAGGUUUAAUUUAUGUAAGGGUUAAUCUGGACCGUUGAUCACAAUGAUCAACGGCCAAGAUUUGCCCGGGUAUUGGGUUGGGGCAGAUGGGUAUUGGGCUGGGUAUAUUUUGGUUUUAAAAAUGGGAUGAGUGUUGGGUCCAAUUUAGGAUUAGCAUUGAAUGUAAAAUAGGGCCAGAUUUUAAAUAGUCAAUUUUAAUAACUAAAUAAUUUAUAAAAAUAAUAACUGAGUACCAAAAAUAUUUUUAUGUACUAAAAUGAUUUAAAAUAAUUAUUUAAUAUUUUAAAAAUAUAAAAAAUCAUUUUAUGCAUAAAAUAAUGUAAUUAUACAUUAGUAUGUGCUAUUAUUGCAAAGAUGUGCAAUAUAGCCUAAACAAUAUAAAUACAAUUAUAAAAAUGCACUAAAAAUAUUUAAACACUAUGUUGGCAUAAAUAAUGAAUUUAAAUGGCUAAAUCAUCACGAAGGAUAAUUAUUGGAUAUUUAUGUAAUAAAAAGAGAAGAAAUAAAUUGAUUUGGAGCUUUUUUUUUAAUUAUGGAAAAAUUAUAAAAAUACUUAUGCAUGCUUAUAACUGCAUAUGUGCUAUUUUGAAAGUAUAUAUAUGUUUAAAAUAUGUGAGGAUAAAUUGGGUAUCAACAGGCGUCAGUACGAAAAAUGUAUUGAGUAUGUAAGGCAUGAAAAUCAAUACGUAAAAGACAUAGAUGAAACAUAGAAUAAAAAAUCCAUCUGUAAAUCUGAACAACUUUGUAAAUUCUGAAAUGUUUAUAAUGUCAUGCAUGCGUAUAUAAAUGUCGUGUUAUUCAUAGGUAUAUGUGGACAUAAUAUCAUCAGCCUCUGAGGGCAUCCCAUCAUAUCGUCUCGGCUACUGUGGGCAACGUCAUCAACAUAUACCAACUGAUCAGGUGAUGGUGCGUAUAUAACGCCGUAACCUUUUUCCCAUAUCCCAUAUAAAUAUAAUAUACAUAUAUACGCGUAUAUAACGCCAUCUGAUCAUGGGUCAAUGUACAUGUAUAAAUGCAUGAAAUGCAUAAGAAAUACGUUAUAAGAUUUUCUCAGAAUGCCGUAAAACUCAAUAUGCCUUUCGGAUAAACUUUAUCAAAUAUGCUUUUCUUUAGACCCAUGAAUAGACAAUAGAAUAAUAAGAUUUAUGGGAGAAUAAGAAUAUAUACAUCUCUAGCAUUUCUACAAAUAGAGUAAUUUAUGAAAGUUGUGCAUUUGCUCGUUUUGUUUGUGUCGUAUUGAUCAUGCCAAAAAGAAAGAAGGGAUAACCUUAACAUACUUGAGUCGAUUCUCUUGAGAAAUAUUACACCGUAAUCUUUUAAUAUUGUAAAAUCUCACGUUAAUUUGAAUUUUUGAAAGCUUGGGCGUAGCUUAUGUGAUAUGCAAUAUACAUUUGCAUAUUACAAAUGCUUUAACAUGAUUUCUUUGUUAGAAAGGCUUGCUAUACUUGAAGAACAAUUUCCCUAAAUCUUGAUGAACCCUUUCAGAAGAGGUGUAGGGAAUGAUUUCAAUAUUUUGAGAUUGUUAUUUUAUUUAGGUAGGCCCCUCAUUGAAAUCGUAGUGUCACUUUAAGGUGUGACAUCUUAUCCAUCUUUAUUAUUAGUCAUUUAGAAAGUUUAGACAAGCUUGCCACGUUGGAGGGGGGAGGGGGUUUAAUCAUUAUCCACUAAAUUUAUUAAUUAACUAGGUAAUGUUCUGUUACCCUGUAAUUAAUCAAUUACCCAUAUAAUUAAGAAUUAUCUCAAAUUACCAACAAUUAAUACUCAUUUUUAAUAUACUUUAUAUAUCAUACUAUCACGGUCAUAUGGUACCUUGUAUGGUACUAGUCCAUAAAUAUCGGGUAUUAUCGCUCGACCCAUAUUUUAUCCCAAAUCGGCAACCUUCAACGAAACUCAUUUUCUUUGAUUCGUGUACCCUUUAUCCUUUAUGGCACUUACUUAUCGCUUGUUAAAAAUAGCAUAAAUACGUUAACCUCAAGGUAAUCUUAUCCUCGAGUCUAUGUCGAUUAACUGAAGAUGAUACUUUAACGUACGAAAUGCGAGUGUAACAAUACCACCGUAGAGUUUCCGGCGAUUUAUUUAGUGCCAGUAGUCCGAGAGUUCACCGAUGUGUUUCCUUCUGAUCUUCUUGGCAUGCCACCAGAUCAUGACAUUGAUUUUUAUAUUGAUUUGGCUCCAGGUACCCAGCCUAUAUCCAUCCCACCGUACCGUAUGGCUCCAAAAGAGUUAAAGGAGUUGAAGGAGCAACUUGAGGAGUUGUUAGCAAAGGUGUUUGUCAGAUCAAUUGUAUCACCUUGGGGUGUACCAGUGUUAUUUAUGAAGAAGAAAGAUGGGACUAUGAGGAUGUGCAUUAAUUACCGCCAGUUGAACAAAGUUACCAUCAAGAACAAGUACCCGUUGUCGCGUAUCGAUGAUUUGUUUGACUAGUUGCAGGGUGUCACACCUCCUUUUUAUAUGAGGGGGAUAGAGAGUUUUUCCAAUUAAAGUGACAUUAAUCGAAAUAGGAUUAUUNNNNNNNNNNNNNNNNNNNNCGAGAGAAGGUGUUAGACAUUUUCGGGUUUCGUGGUUUUAGGACGAUCGCUCAACUAUUAAUAAUUGGCCUAAUUAUCUGAUUUAUUACAUGUUUUAAACCUAUUGUGCAAUUUUAAUUUUAUAACAGCUUUUAUUUAUUUAUGGAGUUUGUUUGAACAAGUUGCGAUGUCGCACACUUAUUUGUUUUUGUACACAUUGCGAAUCGCGUCACGAGAACCGUACCCACGAUCUUCAAUAUAUUUAUUUUAUUAUUGUUCGAAGUUAUGGUUGGGUCAUAUGCAAUGCGCACCCGAAUUGGGGAUUAUUUAUCAAGAGUAUACCACGAGAACUGUACCCAUAGCCGUGAUGAUUUAAUUACGCGACUAAAGCAAGUUAUGUUGUUUAUGGGGUUGUGUAACGACCCGACUGGUCGUUUUUCUUUUUAGAACCCUGUACCCCUAAAUAAGACUUCCCGCGCUUACUUUAACUAAUUUACGACUAGCGAGGAUAGUUGGUUCGGGAUUUGGAAGAGUUUGGGUUGAAAUAGGCACACUUGAUUCCCCAAGAUUUUCUUAAAAGACUAAGUUUGACUUUGGUCAACAUUUCUAGUAAAUGGAUCGUGACUUGUGUUUUGACAGCCCCGGAGUGUCUGUAGGAAAAUAUGGGACCUGGGCGUAUGCCCGGAAUCGAAUUCUGAGGUCCCUAGCCCGAGUAAAGAAUUUUUGUUAGAAAUUGUUAAACUGAAAUUCUAAGGAUUUAAUGAAAUUGAAUAAUGCUUGAUCAUGUCGGUAUCAGGCUCGUAUGAUGGUUCGGGAGCUCGUUAUAGGUCCAAUAUAACGUUUAAGACUUACACGCAAAAUUUGGUAUCAAUCCGAGUAGUAUAAGUAUGUUUCGGCGCGUUAGAAGUGAAUUGAAGAACUUGAAGUUCAUAAAUUUGAUUCAAUUGGUUUUAGGGGUGAUUCUUAGAUUUAGCGUUGUUUCGGGCAUUCCAAGGGUUCAAGCGAGUCCAUUUUAUGAUUUUAAACUUUUUGGUAUGUUCGGACAAGGCCUGAGGGGCCCGAGCGUCAAUUGGAAGAGGCCCGAGUGAAGUUGGAAAAUUGGCAAGGAGCGGAAGCUCCAGCUAUCUGUCAUAACCGCACCUGCGGUUGGUCAGCUGCAGGUGCGAGACCACAGGUGUGGUCGACUCAUCGCAGCAGUGUCCAAGGGGAGGAGCCCAGGAACCGCAGAUGCGGCUCCUGCUCCACAGAGGCGGCUGCGCAGGAGCGACUCCAAUACCGCAGAAGCGGUCCCAGCUCCCCUGGCCCAAUUCCUCAUAUGCGGACCCCCUCUCGCAGAAGCGAGACCGCAAAUGUUGUCCCCUAACCGCAGGUGCGGAACUCGCUGAAGGCAGUGCCUUAAUUUAAUAUGGGAAUGUGUCAUUUUUGACACAUUUCCACCAUUGUUUGGGCGAUUUGGGAGCUUCCAAAGAGAGAUAUUCCACCUUGCAUCUUGAGGUUAGUUCAUCCUACUUAUUUCUAGUUUAAUACUUGAACCUUGGGUAGAUAACACAAAGAUUAAGGAAAAAUCAUGGGGUAAGAGCAAAACCUAGGGUUUUGAUAAAAGUUAGAUUUAACCACGAAAUUUGUUAUGGAAUGAAGUAGAAAUCAUAUAUUAUUAAUCCUUAGGUUAUAAAGAACAGCAUUCUUCGAAAAAUUUCGGAAUCCGGGCGGGUGGGUUCAAGGACGGAUUUUAGGAAACUUGUGCUUAGGGUUGGGAAAUUACGUUAAUAUUUAGAAUGCGAUCUUAUGAGCUUAUAUUAACUAGUUCCUACCUCAUCGAAUUAGUUUUGGAUUGUUCGGCUCCAAAAUUGAGGGUUUGAGCACGUUCUCGGUAUUGGAAGUAUGCUUUGAAGCGAGGUAAGUCUCCUUUAUAACCUUGUAGGAAGGAAUUGUCACCUUAGGUGAAAUAAUUGAAUAAAUUGCCACUAAAUGCGGGGCUACGCACGCACUAGGUGACGAGAGUCCGUGCGUAGCUACUAUUAUGUUAAUUGUUCGGGUAGUUUAGGACCCGUAUCAUGCCAUAUUUGUGAAUGUUUAUAUCCUUUUAUGCUAAUGAGAUCACUUAGGAUAUGCUAGAGACUUGGGAAAAGAACAUAUGUGAACAUAUACACUUGCUUGAACACUUGUGUGAAUUUAUUUGAAUAUAAAUGCACAUUUGUGUACUUUCUUGAUGAUAAUUGAUAUUUGUGGAUUAGGCCAAUCGCUUCGGUAGAAAUAGAUGCAUCUAUGGUUCGCGCCAUUCGAUCCUCUAGCGGUGCACAGUUUCUUUUCUGUUGGACCGGGCCGUACGACCUCGACAUAAUGUGUGCAUGAUAUCAAUGUAAAACCUUAUUCAUGACUUACUUUGUUAAAUGCUCUGAAAUGCAAAUGGCUAACUGUGAUAUUAUCUAGGAUAUGGCUCAUCAGUUCUUGCUAUAAAUUGUUAUUUAUUUGUGACAUUCAUGCUUAGCAUAAUACUUUCUUAUAUUAUUUGACCCUAGUAAAUAUCAAGUCGACCUCUCGUCUCUACUUCUUCAAGAUUAGACGGGAUACUUACUGGGUACAUAUUAUUUAUGUACUCAUACUACACUCUGUACUUAAUUGUACAGGAACUGAGGUAGGUACAUCUGGCUACGAGUCUGGUGCGCGUUCUUGAUCGUAGUCCAAAACUUCCAGGGUGAGCUGCUCCCUUUCUAUGCCAUUCAAUGGCAUGAUGGAGUCUCUCUAUACUUUUGGCUGUCUAUUCUAUUCCAAACAUUAUGAUAGAAUUAUUUUUUGUAUAUUCUACUAGUUGUCCACAUACUUGUGACAUCAGGUUUUGGCACACACGUUGGUAGACUAUUCUUUUGGGGUUGUAUAAUUAUUAUUGUACGUUACUAAUUAUCACUUGAUUUAAAUUCAAAUUAAGAAAUUGUUGCAACUGUUUUAGUAAAGUAAACGUAGAAUUAUUACUAUUUCCGUGUUGGCUUACCUGACAAUGGUGUUGGGCGUCAUCACGACCUAUAGUGAACUUGGGUUGUGACAGGUUGUCACAUGAGAUCUCCGGCAUAACACACACAACUACCAGUGGCUGCCUAUAACUUAUCGAGAUUAAAUCAUAUUCAAUGAUACACGGUCAUUACCCAGAAUUGGCCACAGACUUCAAUUAAGGAAAUCAACUGUUAAAAAGAAACACUGAUAGCCCCAUUACUCUCGACUUGUCCUUCUGAAUGCUUACACCAGUAGUUUUUAUUUCAUUAAUCUCAAAUAAGCAUUCUAAUUUGUUAUCCUGCAACAGAUUGCAUUCACCUUUGUAUAUGAACUUCAAAAAUCCAUUAAUAACAUAACUAACCCAAUUAAUAUUAUUAUCAACUCCUUACAAUAUGCCAAUUUUCCAAUAAAAAUCACGCCACUCCAUGGCCCAAAACAAUUGAAUAAACCAAACUUACUGCAUUUUACACUUUGAACCAAAUGGCCUAAGUACGGUGAUAAGCUUCAACCCAGUUAACAAUCCUUCUAACUCUUAAUUUCCAGCUUUACAAAUUAGUUUAAACUCAAAUAAAGUGCAGUCCAGUGAGAUGGAAAAUACCCGCUUACUUUUGUCAAUCAGCGAUUUGCUCAAUUAAUAAAAGAUUGUCUUGUUCACUCUAAGCAAUUAAACUCAAUGUAAUUACCAGACAAUCUAUCCAAUAAUCAAAAAUCGACAUAUUCAUAGAAAGUAUGCCCAACAAAACUUCACAUACAUAUAAGAUUAAAAGGAAGCAAUAAAUGGGGGAAGAAUUUGGACCUUUAUUUCUGCAUAAUUUGCACCAUGUAUUGUGAAAUAAGAUCUCUGAAAUAACAAAUCGAAGCUAACGAGCUACUGACCCGCACCUCGACCCGAAAAACUCGAACGCUCCUUCACUUUAGCGAUGAUUUCGGGACUGAUUUUUGCACUUAUUUUUAAGUUGUUUUAAUGGGUUUUGAGCUGAUUUUGGGAUGGAAUUGAAGCUCUUUUCGCUGGUUUUCAUGGCUAUUCGGAACUCGUUAAUGGACUAUUUUUGUGCAUAUUUUUGGGGCUAUUUUUAGGCUCCUUUUGGACUGUUUUUCGGUUGGUUAUUGGCUCUAUUUGAGGGCUGUUUUGUAGCCUUUUUGGGCUGGAUUUAAGGAGUAAUUUAAGCUUAUUUUUGUGGGUGUUUAGGGGUGUUUUCGGGCUGAACUUUGGCUGAAAGUUUCCUAGUCUUUGGCAUGAGAAAACAGAGGUGCUUUCUUGACUGAAAUCGCUGUCUAUUUAGCUAUGUUUCAUGGUGUUUGAAAACUGAGAUCUGGAGGAAAAUGAAUGAGGUGUUUGAUCACUGAUUUUGGGGGUGGGUGUUAAUGGAGGUUUGAUGCGUUUUUUUACUUGGGGAAGAAGGAGGUUCCAUUUUUUUAUUCUUUCUGAUCUUCCCCUUUUCCUCUCUCGCCAGAUCUAUU